This is a non-coding RNA of Schistosoma mansoni, 45 nucleotides long. Lineage: Eukaryota; Metazoa; Platyhelminthes; Trematoda; Strigeidida; Schistosomatidae. The record is from Rfam.
AUUCAGCCGACGACUCCCAAAUAGGACGAAACGCGCAUCCUGGAU